CCUACGGGUGGCAGCAGUGAGGAAUAUUGGUCAAUGGGCGCGAGCCUGAACCAGCCAAGUAGCGUGAAGGAUGACUGCCCUACGGGUUGUAAACUUCUUUUAUAAAGGAAUAAAGUGAGGCACGUGUGCCUUUUUGUAUGUACUUUAUGAAUAAGGAUCGGCUAACUCCGUGCCAGCAGCCGCGGUAAUACGGAGGAUCCGAGCGUUACCCGGAUUUAUUGGGUUUAAAGGGGACGUAGAUGGGUUGUUAAGUUAGUUGUGAAAGUUUGCGGCUUAACCGGAAAAUUGCAAUUGAUACUGGCAGCCUUGAGAUCAGGUGAGGUAGGCGGAAUUCGUGGUGUAGCGGUGAAAUGCUUAGAUAUCACGAAGAACUCCGAUUGCGAAGGCAGCUUACGAAACUGCCACUGACAUUGAUGCUCGAAAGUGUGGGUAUCAAACAGGAUUAGAUACCCGAGUAGUC
RNAcentral lists this ribosomal RNA (460 nucleotides) under uncultured bacterium. RNAcentral describes it as "partial 16S ribosomal RNA". It matches the Rfam family "Bacterial small subunit ribosomal RNA", at positions 338 to 795 of the family's 1533-position model. The record is from RNAcentral.